GGGGCGUCCCUGGGCAGCCCAGGAGCAGCUGUCAGUCACUGACACACCGGGAGCACUGUCAACACCACGCCCCGGAGUCCCCAGCCCAGCCUCAUCCAGGUUGGCACACUGGAUGUCCCACCUAGAGGCUGGGGGGUGGCUGCAGGGGGACCGAACAGAUAAAACGAGCACCAUGCGGCCUUCGUGUUGUCAUGACCCCCACCAUGUGGACACACGGAAGCUGGAAUUGCACAGGACUCAAGGCAGAAGCUGAAUAAAACACCUGUUGAUUCCUGGAAUAGCAAAAGACAGUGAAGCCUACCAGAGUUACAGAACCACAGCCAGUUAAGUCAGUGCAAACCGCUUAAUUCAGAGGUGAAAUGAAAAUAAAUGUACAAAUGAAAAAGAAAUAAGACAUCUUCUGCACAGUAAUGUAAAGCAUAAAAAGCACAUAAUUUUUAAUAGAACUUUAUGAUGCCUUUUUCUGCUGACUACAGAAUCUGUUCAAAGUAUCCAUGAAACUAAAUUACAAACUGCUGGCUAUUUUUCCAACUA
Molecule: long non-coding RNA, 534 nt
Organism: Pseudopipra pipra
Lineage: Eukaryota; Metazoa; Chordata; Aves; Passeriformes; Pipridae
Exons: 2
Source: RefSeq, a predicted model, not a curated record